ACCGGCACCGGACCUUUAGGCUGUGUUCCGGCGGAAAUAGCAAUGAGGGGAAGAAACGGAGAAUGCUCCGAGGAAUUGCAGAGAGCAGCUGGCUUGUUUAACCCACAGCUUGUGCAAUUGAUAAAUGAACUGAAUGCUGAAAUUGGAUCCGACAUUUUUGUAGCUGCAAAUGCAUAUGAAAUGAACAUGGAUUUUGUUAACAACCCUCAAACCUAUGGUAAGUUAAUUAUCUCAAUUUCUUUUUUUAUUUUUGAAAAAGAGGCAUGAUUUAUUUGCAUAUGAUCAUGAGAUAAAUUUACCUUUACUAUUAGAACAUGCAUGGCCUGUGGAAAUUAUCAAAUAUAAUGAACAGUAGAUGCAGAUGACCAGUGGGCAAAAGGACUUAUUCACUGGAGAGAAAUCUAUGGGACCAUUGAAAAAUAAAUGCAUUAUGUUGUGAUAGGUCUCUCAGCUUUUUAUUAAAUGCUGAAAUUAAUAUGGAAAAAAUUAAAUUAAUUUAAUUUAAUUAGUUUUUCGAUUUGAUACCCUAAUUAUAUAUUAAUUAAAAAGUGCAUAAUUGUGAUUAUUUUUGGCAGGAUUUGUAACAUCCAAGGUUGCAUGCUGUGGGCAAGGACCUUAUAAUGGGAUUGGAUUAUGCACAGUAGUAUCAAACCUGUGCCCUAAUAGAGACAUCUAUGCAUUUUGGGAUCCAUUUCAUCCAUCUGAAAGGGCUAAUAGAAUCAUUGUUCAACAAAUUGUGACUGGCUCCACCAAGUAUAUGCACCCAAUGAAUCUCAGCACCAUCAUGCUUUUGGAUUCUAGG
Molecule: long non-coding RNA, 802 nt
Filed under: Manihot esculenta (cassava)
Lineage: Eukaryota; Viridiplantae; Streptophyta; Magnoliopsida; Malpighiales; Euphorbiaceae
Description: long non-coding RNA (MESC_LNC005034)
Source: RNAcentral